Amblyraja radiata (thorny skate) is the source of this 294-nucleotide long non-coding RNA. RefSeq lists it as uncharacterized. The record is from RefSeq and is a predicted model, not a curated record. Lineage: Eukaryota; Metazoa; Chordata; Chondrichthyes; Rajiformes; Rajidae. The transcript is spliced from 3 exons.
GAGAUGUCCGAGAAGUAGAGGCGAAGAUUGUAAAAACAAUGGAGAAAAAUCUUCAAGAGAUUCAAGAGAAUUUAAAUUCCAUUCAGGAGGACCUAUCAAAAUUACAGGGACAGAUAGACCACAAGGACGGUGUGAUAUUUCUGAAGGGUUAUUGAUGAAACCAAACCAAUGUUGGUGGUAGAUAGCGCGUUGCCCAUUGAAAAGUAUGAUCGCACCCUUUUCUACAACAUAGCAUUGAGCAAAACAUCUGACAUCAUCAAACGAGUCUCCGUCACCCUGGAUGUGGAAACAGCG